RNAcentral lists this ribosomal RNA (129 nucleotides) under Syntrophomonadaceae bacterium. Its description in RNAcentral is "partial 16S ribosomal RNA". It matches the Rfam family "Bacterial small subunit ribosomal RNA", at positions 1 to 119 of the family's 1533-position model. Lineage: Bacteria; Bacillati; Bacillota; Clostridia; Eubacteriales; Syntrophomonadaceae. The record is from RNAcentral.
UUAUUGGAGAGUUUGAUCCUGGCUCAGGACGAACGCUGGCGGCGUGCUUAACACAUGCAAGUCGAACGGAGAUUAUUAAUGAAGCUUGCGAUUUAAUAAUCUUAGUGGCGGACGGGUGAGUAACGCGUG